AUGGCAGCUCCAGAGUCUGAAAUCCUCUCCUUAUCCACAGAAGAAAAGAGCAUAGGCAGCAGCAGUACAAGUUGCCCCACAGUCUCUCCCCAUGUGCUGCCAGUGUGCCCUGGAGGAACCACCUUCUAGGGGUGAGUAGGUAGCUCAGCCUCCAUGCACAUUCAGUCUAACAGCUCUA
RNAcentral lists this small RNA (178 nucleotides) under Chrysemys picta bellii (western painted turtle). RNAcentral's name for it is "TUC338 (ENSCPBG00000005895.1)". Lineage: Eukaryota; Metazoa; Chordata; Testudines; Emydidae. The record is from RNAcentral.